ACGUGGGAAUCUACCCAUCAGUACGGAAUAACAUUUGGAAACAAAUGCUAAUACCGUAUAUUCUCUACGGAGGAAAGAUUUAUCGCUGAUGGAUGAGCCCGCGUAAGAUUAGGUAGUUGGUAGGGUAAUGGCCUACCAAGCCGACGAUCUUUAGCUGGUCUGAGAGGAUGAUCAGCCACACUGGGACUGAGACACGGCCCAGACUCCUACGGGAGGCAGCAGUGGGGAAUAUUGGACAAUGGGCGAAAGCCUGAUCCAGCAAUACCGCGUGAAUGAUGAAGGCCUUAGGGUUGUAAAGUU
Molecule: ribosomal RNA, 300 nt
Filed under: uncultured Rickettsiaceae bacterium
Lineage: Bacteria; Pseudomonadati; Pseudomonadota; Alphaproteobacteria; Rickettsiales; Rickettsiaceae
Description: bacterial SSU rRNA
Rfam family: Bacterial small subunit ribosomal RNA
Source: RNAcentral